CGGAAUUACUGGGCGUAAAGCGAGCGUAGGUGGCUUGAUAAGUCAGAUGUGAAAGCCCCGGGCUUAACCUGGGAACGGCAUCUGAUACUGUUAGGCUAGAGUAGGUGAGAGGAAGGUGGAAUUCCAGGUGUAGCGGUGAAAUGCGUAGAGAUCUGGAGGAAUACCGAUGGCGAAGGCAGCCUUCUGGCAUCAUACUGACACUGAGGUUCGAAAGCGUGGGUAGCAAACAGGAUUAGAUACCCUGGUAGUCCACGCCGUAAACGAUGUCUACUAGUCGUUGGGUCCCUUGAGGACUUAGUGACGCAGCUAACGCAAUAAGUAGACCGCCUGGGGAGUACGGCCGCUAGGUUAAAGCUCAAAUGAAUUGACGGGGGCCCGCACAAGCGGUGGAGCAUGUGGUUUAAUUCGAUGCAACGCGAAGAACCUUACCUGGUCUUGACAUAUCUAGAAUCCUGCAGAGAUGCGGGAGUGCCUUCGGGAAUUAGAAUACAGGUGCUGCAUGGCUGUCGUCAGCUCGUGUCGUGAGGUGUUGGGUUAAGUCCCGCAACGAGCGCAACCCUUGUCCUUAGUUACCAGCGGUUUGGCCGGGAACUCUAAGGAUACUGCCAGUGACAAACUGGAGGAAGGCGGGGACGACGUCAAGUCAUCAUGGCCCUUACGACCAGGGCUACACACGUGCUACAAUGGUAGGUACAGAGGGCAGCUACACAGCGAUGUGAUGCGAAUCUCAAAAAGCCUAUCGUAGUCCAGAUUGGAGUCUGCAACUCGACUCCAUGAAGUAGGAAUCGCUAGUA
RNAcentral lists this ribosomal RNA (794 nucleotides) under uncultured bacterium. RNAcentral describes it as "bacterial SSU rRNA". It matches the Rfam family "Bacterial small subunit ribosomal RNA", at positions 546 to 1340 of the family's 1533-position model. The record is from RNAcentral.